AUUGAACGCUGGCGGCAUGCCUUACACAUGCAAGUCGAGCGGCAGCGCGGGGGCAACCCUGGCGGCGAGCGGCGAACGGGUGAGUAAUACAUCGGAACGUGUCCUGUCGUGGGGGAUAACCAGUCGAAAGAUUGGCUAAUACCGCAUGACCUCGUAAGAGAAAAGCGGGGGAUCGCAAGACCUCGCGCGAUUGGAGCGGCCGAUGUCGGAUUAGCUAGUUGGCGGGGUAAAAGCCCACCAAGGCGACGAUCCGUAGCUGGUUUGAGAGAACGACCAGCCACACUGGGACUGAGACACGGCCCAGACUCCGACGGGAGGCAGCAGUGGGGAAUUUUGGACAAUGGGGGCAACCCUGAUCCAGCCAUGCCGCGUGUGUGAAGAAGGCCUUCGGGUUGUAAAGCACUUUCGGCCGGAACGAAAUCGCGCGGGUGAACAUCCCGCGUGGAUGACGGUACCGGAAGAAGAAGCACCGGCUAACUACGUGCCAGCAGCCGCGGUAA
This 500-nucleotide ribosomal RNA is filed under the name uncultured bacterium. RNAcentral describes it as "partial 16S ribosomal RNA". It matches the Rfam family "Bacterial small subunit ribosomal RNA", at positions 29 to 523 of the family's 1533-position model. The record is from RNAcentral.